This is a long non-coding RNA of Gossypium raimondii (Peruvian cotton), 559 nucleotides long. RefSeq lists it as uncharacterized. Lineage: Eukaryota; Viridiplantae; Streptophyta; Magnoliopsida; Malvales; Malvaceae. The record is from RefSeq and is a predicted model, not a curated record. The transcript has 2 exons.
UACGCCAGAACACGCGGAUCUAGCCGCUUCUGGGUCGGGUCAUCGGGUCGCGGCCUAAACGGCACCGUUUCAUGGCCAUUGAAUCCGGCCCAAACGAUGCCGUUUCAAAAAUCGGCAUAAGGAAAAAAAAAAACCCUAACUAAACCUAAUCUACCCUUUAACAAAACAAACAGAAAGAAAACAAAAGGGCCUCACUGCGCCGUUUCGACAAAAUGUCGUCCCAGGGCUCUCUCCCCUCGCCGCGACUCCGAUGACUACGGAGGGAGCAAAGGUCCAGCCACCAGGUACGGAGCGCAGGGUCUGGACGCGGCACGUACAGAGUCGAAGGUGCGGUACGAGGUAGCAGACGUGGCAUCACGCACAUGGGGGAGGCGUGGGUGGCAGCGGCGUAGAAGACUUCUGCUGUUGCUAGGGUUUUUGGUAAUCGGGCUAGGGAUUUGGGCUUCUGUAAUCAGGCUAGGGACUUUUAAUUUUUAAUUUGGUUUUAUUUCACUAGCGGGCCAGACAGAUUGGGCCUAUUACAAUUUUCUUUCAAGUCACUUUAUUUCUUUUUCUUUCA